This 192-nucleotide ribosomal RNA is filed under the name uncultured bacterium. RNAcentral describes it as "partial 16S ribosomal RNA". It matches the Rfam family "Bacterial small subunit ribosomal RNA", at positions 339 to 522 of the family's 1533-position model. The record is from RNAcentral.
UACCGGGAGGCGACAGGGGGGAAUUUUGGACAAUGGGGGCAACCCCUGAUCCAGCAAUGCCGCGUGCAGGAAGAAGGCCUUCGGGUUGUAAACUGCUUUUGUACGGAACGAAAAGGCUCUGGUUAAUACCUGGGGCACAUGACGGUACCGUAAGAAUAAGCACCGGCUAACUACGUGCCAGCAGCCGCGGGU